UCCGGAAUGGUGUAGUGGUUAGCAUUUCUGCCUUUCAAUCUCCUGUCUGUCCAACAAACAAACAGUGAAAGCUCGCAGGAGACCGGGGUUCAAUUCCCCGUUCCGGAA
RNAcentral lists this transfer RNA (108 nucleotides) under Cadophora malorum. It matches the Rfam family "tRNA". From Rfam's summary of the family: Transfer RNA (tRNA) molecules are approximately 80 nucleotides in length. Their secondary structure includes four short double-helical elements and three loops (D, anti-codon, and T loops). Further hydrogen bonds mediate the characteristic L-shaped molecular structure. tRNAs have two regions of fundamental functional importance: the anti-codon, which is responsible for specific mRNA codon recognition, and the 3' end, to which the tRNAs corresponding amino acid is attached (by aminoacyl-tRNA synthetases). tRNAs cope with the degeneracy of the genetic code in two manners: having more than one tRNA (with a specific anti-codon) for a particular amino acid; and 'wobble' base-pairing, i.e. permitting non-standard base-pairing at the 3rd anti-codon position. Lineage: Eukaryota; Fungi; Ascomycota; Leotiomycetes; Helotiales; Ploettnerulaceae. The record is from Rfam by way of RNAcentral.